CAAUAGCGUAUAUUAAAGUUGUUGCAGUUAAAAAGCUCGUAGUUGGAUUUGUGGCGUACGGUGUGUUCCGGGCACUUGUUGUCUGAGUAACCUGCUGUUGCCAUCCUUGGGUGGAACCUGUGUGGCAUUAGGUUGUCGUGCAGGGGAUGCCCAUCAUUUACUGUGAAAAAAUUAGAGCGUUCAAAGCAGGCUUAUGCCGUUGAAUAUAUUAGCAUGGAAUAAUGAGAUAGGAUUUUUUUGCUAUUUUGUUGGUUUGCGCAAAGAGGUAAUGAUUAAUAGGGACAGUUGGGGGUAUUCGUAUUCCAUUGUCAGAGGUGAAAUUCUUGGAUUUUUGGAAGACGAACUACUGCGAAAGCAUUUACCAAGGAUGUUUUCAUUAA
RNAcentral lists this ribosomal RNA (380 nucleotides) under uncultured eukaryote. RNAcentral describes it as "partial 18S ribosomal RNA". It matches the Rfam family "Eukaryotic small subunit ribosomal RNA", at positions 592 to 976 of the family's 1831-position model. The record is from RNAcentral.